CCGCGUCUGAUUAGCUAGUUGGUGGGGUAACGGCCUACCAAGGCGACGAUCAGUAGCUGGUCUGAGAGGAUGAUCAGCCACACUGGGACUGAGACACGGCCCAGACUCCUACGGGAGGCAACAGUGGGGAAUAUUGGACAAUGGGCGCAAGCCUGAUCCAGCCAUGCCGCGUGAGUGAUGACGGCCUUAGGGUUGUAAAGCUCUUUUCUCCGGGACGAUAAUGACGGUACCGGAGGAAUAAGCCCCGGCUAACUUCGUGCCAGCAGCCGCGGUAAUACGAAGGGGGCUAGCGUUGCUCGGAACUCACUGGGCGUAAAGGGCGCGUAGGCGGCGUUUUAAGUCGGGGGUGAAAGCCUGUGGCUCAACCACAGAAUGGCCUUCGAUACUGGGACGCUUGAGUAUGGUAGAGGUUGGUGGAACUGCGAGUGUAGAGGU
Molecule: ribosomal RNA, 435 nt
Filed under: uncultured Alphaproteobacteria bacterium
Lineage: Bacteria; Pseudomonadati; Pseudomonadota; Alphaproteobacteria
Description: bacterial SSU rRNA
Rfam family: Bacterial small subunit ribosomal RNA
Source: RNAcentral